This is a non-coding RNA of Tinamus guttatus (white-throated tinamou), 168 nucleotides long. The record is from Rfam. Lineage: Eukaryota; Metazoa; Chordata; Aves; Tinamiformes; Tinamidae.
GAAAAAUCUCUCCCCCGCCACCAGCCCGGCCGCCCCGUGGUGAGGUCAGAGCCCUGUUUUUGGGACCCAGCUGGCGGUUGCCAUGGAAGUGCUUGUGCUUUCACAAAGUCGGCAUGGCAAGGACUUCGCAAGCAAGGUCGCGGAGGAGCAGAUGGGCUUCGGAGGAGG